GGGCGGUUAGCUCAGUUGGCUAGAGCGCAAAUUUGACGUAUUUGAGGUCAUAGGUUCGAGUCCUAUACCGCCCA
Molecule: transfer RNA, 74 nt
Filed under: Parcubacteria group bacterium CG2_30_36_18
Lineage: Bacteria
Description: tRNA-Val
Rfam family: tRNA
About the family: Transfer RNA (tRNA) molecules are approximately 80 nucleotides in length. Their secondary structure includes four short double-helical elements and three loops (D, anti-codon, and T loops).
Source: RNAcentral